RNAcentral lists this ribosomal RNA (521 nucleotides) under uncultured bacterium. RNAcentral describes it as "bacterial SSU rRNA". It matches the Rfam family "Bacterial small subunit ribosomal RNA", at positions 1 to 523 of the family's 1533-position model. The record is from RNAcentral.
UAGAGUUUGAUCCUGGCUCAGAUUGAACGCUGGCGGCAUGCCUUACACAUGCAAGUCGAACGGCAGCACGGGGGCAACCCUGGUGGCGAGUGGCGAACGGGUGAGUAAUGCAUCGGAACGUGCCCAGUUGUGGGGGAUAACCCGGCGAAAGCCGGGCUAAUACCGCAUACGACCUACGGGUGAAAGCGGGGGACCGUAAGGCCUCGCGCAAUUGGAGCGGCCGAUGUCUGAUUAGCUAGUUGGCGGGGUAAAGGCCCACCAAGGCGACGAUCAGUAGCUGGUCUGAGAGGACGACCAGCCACACUGGGACUGAGACACGGCCCAGACUCCUACGGGAGGCAGCAGUGGGGAAUUUUGGACAAUGGGCGCAAGCCUGAUCCAGCCAUGCCGCGUGCGGGAAGAAGGCCUUCGGGUUGUAAACCGCUUUUGGCAGGAACGAAACGGCGCGGGCGAAUAUCCCGUGUUAAUGACGGUACCUGCAGAAUAAGCACCGGCUAACUACGUGCCAGCAGCCCCGGUCA